RNAcentral lists this ribosomal RNA (1481 nucleotides) under uncultured Bordetella sp. RNAcentral's name for it is "partial 16S-23S ribosomal RNA intergenic spacer". It matches the Rfam family "Bacterial small subunit ribosomal RNA". The record is from RNAcentral. Lineage: Bacteria; Pseudomonadati; Pseudomonadota; Betaproteobacteria; Burkholderiales; Alcaligenaceae.
UUCGAUUCAGCUCCGAUUGAACGCUGUGGGAUACUUUACACAUGCAAGUCGAACGGCAGCACGGACUUCGGUCUGGUGGCGAGUGGCGAACGGGUAGAGAGUAAUGUAUCGGAACUUGAUGCCUAGUAGCGGGGGAUAACUACGCGAAAGCGUAGCUAAUACCGCAUACGCCCUUCGGGGGAAAGCGGGGGACCUUCGGGCCUCACGCACUAAUGGAAACGGCCGAUAUCGGAUUAGCUAGUUGGUGGGGGUAACGGCUCACCAAGGCGACGAUCCGUAAGCUGCGUUGAGGGCGACCAGCCGCAGGACUGAGACGGCCCAGACUCCUGGGAGGCAGCAGUGGGAAUUUGGACCAAUGGAAGCGGUCCAGCCCAUCGCAUGCGACGAAGGCCUUCGGGUUGUAAACACUUUUGGCAGGAAAGAAACGGCACGGAUACGUGCCCGGUGACCCGGCUGUUCUGAAUAACAGCACCGGCUAACUACGUGCCAGCAGCCGCGGUAAUACGUAGAGAUUGCAAGCGUUAAUCAGGAAUUACUGGGCGUAAAGCGUGCGCAGGCGGUUCGGAAAAAGAUGAAAUCCCUGAGCUUAACUUUGGGGAACUGCAUUUUAACUGCCGAGCUAGAGUGUGUCAGGGAGGUGGAAUUCCGCGUGUGGUGAAAUGCGUAGAUAUGGGAAGAACUGCUGAUAGCGAAGGCGGCCUCACUGCGGGAUAACACUGACGCUCAUGCACGAAAGCGUGAGGCAAACAGGAUUAGAUACUGUUGGUCCACGCCUAAACGAUGUCAACUAGCUGUUGGGGCCUUCGGGCCUUCAAGUAGCGCAACUAACGCAAUGAAGUUGACCGCCUGGGGAAAUUACCGGUCGCAAGAUUAAAACUCGAAAGUUGACCGGGGACCCGCACAGCCAGUGGAUGAUGUGGAUUAAUUCGAUGCAACGCGAAAACCUUACCUACCUUGACAUGUCUGGAAUCGAAGAGAGAUUUGCGAAGUGCUCGCAAAGGCAGGAACCUGGUGCUCUGCCAGCUGUCAUCGGCUCGUGUCGUGAGAUGUUGGUUGAUCGCAACGACUGUACCAAUAACCGGACUGCUGCAAAAAAGGGCACUCUAAUGAGACUGCCGGUGACAAACCGGAGGAAGGUGAGGAUGACGUCAGGUCCUCAUGGCCCUUAUGGUGGGGCUUCACACGUCAUACAAUGGUCGGGCCAGAGGGUCGCCAACCCCGCGAGGGGGGCCAUCCCAGAGGCGAUCGUAGUCCGGAUCGCAGUCUGCAACUCGACUGCGUGAAGUCGGAAUCGCUAGUAAUUGCGGAUCAGCAUGUCGCGGUGAAUACGUUCCGGGUCUUGUACACACCACCCGUCACACCAUGGGAGUGGGUUUUACCAAGAAGUAGUUAGCCUAACCGUAAGGAGGGCGAUUACCACAGUAGGAUUCAUGACUGAGGUGAGGUCGUAGCUAAGGUAACUCUGGUACUGCAAUUCCCGG